GCAUGUAUUAGCUCUAGAAUUACCACAGUUAUCCAAGUAGGAGGGAGCGAGCGACCAAAGGAACCAUAACUGAUUUAAUGAGCCAUUCGCAGUUUCACUGUACCGGCCGUGUGUACUUAGACAUGCAUGGCUUAAUCUUUGAGACAAGCAUAUGCUACUGGCAGGAUCAACCAGGUAGUCGAAAGAAGAGAAGAGAAGAGGGGAAGGGGAAACCGCGGCGUGGAGGAGGAAGGAGGAGGAGGAAGGAGAGAGACGAGGCGCGGGGGGAAGGCAACACGGGCCGGCCCCCACCACCCCAAAACCCGCCUUGCGCACGGGUCGAGGAGCGGCCCUCGCUCUCUCCUCUCCUGCCUGGAAGUCCCCCAAGGCACCACCGACAGAAAACCCCUUUUUAAACCCCUCUCUCCGGCUCUCUCUCUCAUCGAGAGGGGGGACCACAGACGCCACUACCCGACUCCCCUCGCGGGCGGGUCCCCACCACCGGGAAAGACUCAGAAGAGUCCCCCCGGAGGGGGAGGGCGAAAGGGCCGCGAAGCAACAACGGGAUGGACGGGAAGACCCACACGAGGCGGAGGUUCCCAAGGUCCUCCCCACACGGGAGGAAAAGCUCACGAACGUGAGAGGGGACCGAGGUCCGCUAGAGAAGGUCAGACGGCUCCGAGGACGGUCAGAACCGGGCCCACCCUCGACUCCGAGCCCAAGAGAGCGGCAGGAAGGCAAAAAGGCCGCCCCGGCACACGCGGGGAAAGGCAGAGAGGCAAACACGGGAAAGCCGAGAUCGCGGGCGCUCGAGGACGCAGCGCCGCCGAGGAGCGAACGGGACCCACAAGGGUCCGCCGCGCGGGGGUCAAGCGGCCCCGACCAGGCCCAAAAUACGUCCCCUCUGACCCUUCCUUCUCCGGCGGGCGAUCGGUGGCCGCACGACAGUCAAGGGCGGAGGCGCGGGGGGGAGGGAAGGGCGCGAAGCCCCCCCCACGAGCCACACGAGCGCGCUCAACGCCUGGCGGAGAAGACACCUUUCGCCAACAGAACCGGAGGGGAUUCGAGAACAGAGGGACGGGGGCCCGGCGCAGGAAAAGACCCACACGAACGCGGCGGGGGGCGGCCCGCCGAGAACUCGGAACAACGGCACACACGCGACCCGCGGCCAACGCGACCAAACCGGGGAACUUUUCCCUUUCUCUCGCUCUCUCCACACAGCGAUGCGCACAGAGAAGGCACGAGGCUCCUCCUUCGCCACCCCAGAGCAGAGCGGGGCACCCGGGAGCCGACCGCCCGUCGGUCACGGGCAACUCAAAGGCUCCCCCGUACAAGCCCGACCACGGGAAGGCAUCGCGGGAAGGCGAUCGGCAAGGAGGGGGUGGGGGCAGGAAAGCCGGCCAGGAAACCUCACGCGAUGGAGGACCCCGGCACACACAGCUCAACCUCACCCGCAGCACCCCCACCGUUCGAGGCCGCCGCCAAAGCAGAAACACGGCCCUAGGAGCAGGGCCCGGUCCACUCGACUUGGGCAGGAACCGCCACUCCCCCCUCCCCAGGCGGGGCAGCGGGAGCCAGGAACAGGCGGGUGAGCGACAGAGUCAUCAUCGCCUGCCCGACGGCCCUCCCUCGCGGGACCAGGGACACCACAUCGAUCCGAGGAGAAAUCCCCAAAGACGGGAAAGAGGGCGGGAGGGGACAGCGGCCCAACGAGCCCAAAACGGGCCGAGAGAGGAGAGGACCCAGAGCGGAACGCCACCCGGGGAAAAAAAACCAAGGGCCGACCCCAACGCCACCAAGAGGAGAGAGCGGAAGACGGGGGCCGGGCGGCAACCCGGAGGCGCCGCGCGGCCCGAGGCAACGACCACUUCCCACCAGCCGAGAGGUUCCGGAGAAGGACCGAGACCGGCAGCGGACCGCCUCACAGCACGACAACGGCCCCAAAACCAAAAGCACGGCUUGGCUUUUUCUGCACACCGGCUCGUCUUCCCCAUUCCCAACAACAGCCAGAGCACUUCUCCCCACUAGUCUGCAGGCACA
Monodelphis domestica (gray short-tailed opossum) is the source of this 2019-nucleotide long non-coding RNA. The record is from Ensembl. Lineage: Eukaryota; Metazoa; Chordata; Mammalia; Didelphimorphia; Didelphidae.